GCCUCCAUAGCGUAAUUGGUAGCGCAACUGAUUUGUAAUCAGUAGGUUGUCUGUUCGAGUCAGACUGGGGGCACCA
Molecule: transfer RNA, 76 nt
Filed under: Sutterella sp.
Lineage: Bacteria; Pseudomonadati; Pseudomonadota; Betaproteobacteria; Burkholderiales; Sutterellaceae
Also listed under: 1 other name
Description: tRNA-Thr
Rfam family: tRNA
About the family: Transfer RNA (tRNA) molecules are approximately 80 nucleotides in length.
Source: RNAcentral